UGUUCUGUGGCUUAGUUGGUUAAAGCGCCGGUCUAGCGAAUACGGAGUCGUGGGUUCGAAUCCCACCUGAACGC
Non-coding RNA from Aedes albopictus (Asian tiger mosquito), 74 nucleotides. The record is from Rfam. NCBI's taxonomy places the organism in Eukaryota, Metazoa, Arthropoda, Insecta, Diptera, Culicidae.